Molecule: long non-coding RNA, 487 nt
Organism: Mobula hypostoma (lesser devil ray)
Lineage: Eukaryota; Metazoa; Chordata; Chondrichthyes; Myliobatiformes; Myliobatidae
Exons: 4
Source: RefSeq, a predicted model, not a curated record
ACUAUAAAUCAAAGGAGACACAGGAGCCUUAAAUCCCACACCAACAAGUUAAGGAAAAGUUAUUACUCUUCAACCAUCAGACUGCUGAACCAGCAUGGAUAACAUCACUCAUCUCAACAUCGAACUGCUUCCACAACCAAUGGACUCACUUUCAAGGGCCUCAGCAUGGUAAUGACCAGAGUGCCUGCAUCACCCAUAUACACCCAAGUGACCUAUUAACCUGUACAGCUUUGUGAUGUAUGAGGGAACCGGAGCACCCGGAGGAAUACCAUGCGGUCGUGGGAAGAACGUACAAACUCCUUCCAGGAAUUAGAACUCAUGAGGAGAUGAAGAGAGAAGACGCCGGAGAGGAGAGGUCGUAGGUGUGGACUUGGAGUUGGGCCAGGUGUCGACGAAGCCCGGGGAAAUCAAUGGAGGAUCGGCGAAGGGGAAAUCAUGAGUUCCAAUUUGUGCACAUUAGACUGUUUCACUAAAAUAGACCUUUUUC